AUUGAACGCUGGCGGCAGGCUUAACACAUGCAAGUCGAGCGGGGUGAUGGUGCUUGCACUAUCACUUAGCGGCGGACGGGUGAGUAAUGCUUAGGAAUCUGCCUAUUAGUGGGGGACAACAUCUCGAAAGGGAUGCUAAUACCGCAUACGUCCUACGGGAGAAAGCAGGGGAUCCAUUGUGACCUUGCGACCAUAGAUGAGCCUAAGUCGGAUUAGCUAGUUGGAGGGGUAAAGGACUACCAAGGCGACGAUCUGUAGCGGGUCUGCGGGGAUGAUCCGCCACACUGGGACUGAGACACGGCCCAGACUCCUACGGGAGGCAGCAGUGGGGAAUAUUGGACAAUGGGGGGAACCCUGAUCCAGCCAUGCCGCGUGUGUGAAGAAGGCCUUAUGGUUGUAAAGCACUUUAAGCGAGGAGGAGGCUCUUUUGGUUAAUACCCAAGAUGAGUGGACGUUACUCGCAGAAUAAGCACCGGCUAACUCUGUGCCAGCAGCCGCAGUAA
RNAcentral lists this ribosomal RNA (503 nucleotides) under uncultured bacterium. Its description in RNAcentral is "partial 16S ribosomal RNA". It matches the Rfam family "Bacterial small subunit ribosomal RNA", at positions 30 to 523 of the family's 1533-position model. The record is from RNAcentral.